This is a long non-coding RNA of Peromyscus maniculatus bairdii (prairie deer mouse), 2003 nucleotides long. RefSeq lists it as uncharacterized. The record is from RefSeq and is a predicted model, not a curated record. NCBI's taxonomy places the organism in Eukaryota, Metazoa, Chordata, Mammalia, Rodentia, Cricetidae.
GGCCGCCGCCCCCCGGUCCUCUCGGCCACACCCCCUUCCCAACUACUUAAAAGGCCGCUCCAGCGGCUCCGCUCUCCCUGUUCGGUGCCAGGGUGCUGGUGUUUCUGGGCUCCAGACUCCGGGGAGAGGCUCAGUGGUUCCGCCCUCCGAAACCGGGGCGAAUGGAGAAGCCAGCCAGCCAGCCAGCCAGACCUGGGUUCGAGUCAGUUAUGGUAUUUCCUGCUUAGAACCCAGGGGCCUUACAUAAGAAUACAGCUCAUGAAUCUUGGAAAGGAAGUGUUGCAGGGGCCGAAACCAGGACUCCAGAGUGCAGGACGCGGAGUUGACCUCGAGACUGGGUGACCUCCACACUGGAAAGGACACUUGAUGGGCAAGGCCGGCCACCCUUGGGUGCCAGCCACUCCCAAGCCUGCCAUCCCAUCCUCCUAGCCCAGCUCCCCACCACCACCCCGUAGCUCCAUCCUCCUUGUGAGGAGGAUGGAGGUGACUCUAGUGGACCCAGGCAGCCCUUCCUCAGUCUUUAAGGCCCCAGGCCUGGGUUUGAACUCUCAAAAGGCUCCAGGUUUCAUGGGAACGGUGUCCACUUGCCUUCUAGGGGGAGCGGCUCCAUAUCAAGGUGUUGAUGGCGCACGCUUUUAAUCCCAGCACUCGGGAGGCAGAGGCAGGCGGAUCUCUGUGAGUUCGAGGACAGCCUGGGCUACAGAGUGAGUUCCAGGAAAGGCACAAAGCUACACAGAGAAACCUGUCUCAAAAGACCAAAAAAAAAAAAAAGAAGAAGAAGAAGAAGGAUUGUGUGUUGUGUGUGCGUCCCACUGCGCUGGAGGCGGUGUGAGGACGUCUUUCCAGACCUUCACAUCGGGCUCUGGAGAUCAAACUCUUGGAGGCUUUCAUGGGGAGCCCUCUUACUGGCUGGGCCAUCUUGUGGCCCCAUUUCGAGUGCUUUUUGGUGAUCUGUCCUCCAUGAGGUGCCUUGGGAGAAAGGGAUCUGCCGGGGUCGGGGCUGAUGAGACUGAUAACGCAGUCAGAUUACAAUGGAUGACGGAAGUAACUUCCUGUGAACUUCAGUGGAACUCAUCCUGCUAAGCAAGGCCAAGACCUUAGUUCGUGGGGGGACGGGAGCGGCUGGUGUGGCCUCCCUACCCUACUUCUCAGAGCCUGACAUUUGUCUCAAUCUUGUCCAAGGAAGUCAAAACCUACAAGGCACCAUCAUCGUGAUACGUACACACCUGUGUUCCUUAAGCGGGCAUGCUUGCCUGUUCCGACACACACAAAAAAAAAACACUUUUUUUACAUAACACCAUUUUAAUGAAAAUGCUGUUUUUUCCAAAGUGAAAGCCGCUGUUACAGAAGCUCUGAAUGAUGCUUAUGUAACUCCAAACGUCUGGGUUUGGGUAGACUCUAAUUCAUUAACGGAAAAGAAUUCUGACAUAUUUGCCGGGGGAGUUCUGACAUAUCUGCCUCCCACCGUUGAGACAAUAGGCUUGGUAAAGUGAACCUUAAUGGGUUGCUAAGGGACCUUGUUGGACUUUGGCCCUGUCCUCUUGUGAGGUAGUUCCGUGGCAGGGGGAACAGUUCAGGUAGGACUGAGUGCUCGGGAAGACCUGCUCUUCCGUGACGUUGGAUGAAACCUCUCCUGUUCAUUUCCUCGUCCAUAGAUACAGUCUCUCCCCCCUUAUAUUUACAAAGUACUUCCAGAUAUAGCAUCUGACUCACUUGAUUUUUUUUUUCAAGGUUAGCAGAAUAGAUAUGUUCAUCUUACAGAAGAAGCAGCAGUGUGGUCUGGAAAGGUUAAUUGAUUCAUCUGAGGUCUCACAGCUUAGGAAGAAGCAGCCACAGUGGGAACAAGAGGUACCUUUGCCCCAUGUGUCGACGCCAAGUGUCAGUCAGUGUUCUUUUGCCCAGGGGUGCAGUGGCUCAGCCAGAAAUGCAUGUGAGACGACGGUGAUACAUGCAUCGUGAGACGACUCGUCCUUGGCAUGUGAAUACAGUCUGGUAUGUUCUAU